AUCAUGAGUUCACAUGUUCACAUGAUUAAAAGGUAUUCCGGUAGACGAUGGGGAUGCGUUCCAUUAGAUAGUAGGCGGGGUAACGGCCCACCUAGUCUUCGAUGGAUAGGGGUUCUGAGAGGAAGGUCCCCCACAUUGGAACUGAGACACGGUCCAAACUCCUACGGGAGGCAGCAGUGAGGAAUAUUGGUCAAUGGGCGAGAGCCUGAACCAGCCAAGUAGCGUGAAGGAUGACUGCCCUAUGGGUUGUAAACUUCUUUUAUAAAGGAAUAAAGUCGGGUAUGGAUACCCGUUUGCAUGUACUUUAUGAAUAAGGAUCGGCUAACUCCGUGCCAGCAGCCGCGGUAAUACGGAGGAUCCGAGCGUUAUCCGGAUUUUAUUGGGUUUAAAGGGAGCGUAGAUGGAUGUUUAAGUCAGUUGUGAAGUUUGCGG
This 432-nucleotide ribosomal RNA is filed under the name uncultured bacterium. Its description in RNAcentral is "bacterial SSU rRNA". It matches the Rfam family "Bacterial small subunit ribosomal RNA", at positions 173 to 606 of the family's 1533-position model. The record is from RNAcentral.